ACUCAGCAGAGCCUGGGCUCUCGCUCUUUACACCUACCCUGCUCCAUCCAUUGCCUUGACUUGCCAGUUGCUUUCCCCACCCCCAAGGCAAAGAAACAAGAAGCAGGAGAGUGCAAGAGGCUCAGGAUCUGAUCUUGUCAACAGCAGGAGAAAACCCUAGCCUGGCUUCACUCAGAAGAUGUCAUCUUGGAUUAGAAAAGAGAGAGAGAGCCACAACUUGGAUUGACAGAGUAUGGAGCCUGAAGGAGCCCAGGUCCCUGAGACACAGUGGAACAAAGCCACUAUACUACCUCAGGACUCUGUACAGCCCUGCUUUAUAUAGAGGAGAAAUCUUUAAAAAGAAGAAUUCGAAGAAAAAGGAAUGCAAGGAGAAAGCUGAAGAGGAGGUGGAAGGAAAAGAAGAAGCAGCAGAAGUGGGAGAAGAGAAAGAAAUGUCUGUCUAUAGAAGGGAGAGUCACAUGAUUUGAAGGCUGACAUUUGGAAUGCAAACCUGAGGAAAAUGUCUACCUCACUUACCUGAC
Gorilla gorilla gorilla (western lowland gorilla) is the source of this 521-nucleotide long non-coding RNA. RefSeq lists it as uncharacterized. Lineage: Eukaryota; Metazoa; Chordata; Mammalia; Primates; Hominidae. The record is from RefSeq and is a predicted model, not a curated record. The transcript is spliced from 3 exons.